This 274-nucleotide ribosomal RNA is filed under the name uncultured bacterium. Its description in RNAcentral is "partial 16S ribosomal RNA". It matches the Rfam family "Bacterial small subunit ribosomal RNA", at positions 523 to 796 of the family's 1533-position model. The record is from RNAcentral.
AUACGGAGGGGGCUAGCGUUGUUCGGAAUCACUGGGCGUAAAGCGCGCGCAGGCGGCUAUUUAAGUUGGAUGUGAAAGCCUACGGCUCAACCGUAGAACUGCAUCCAAAACUAUUUAGCUAGAGUGUGGGAGAGGAAGAUGGAAUUAGUUGUGUAGGGGUAAAAUCCGUAGAGAUAACUAGGAAUACCAAAAGCGAAGGCAAUCUUCUGGAACACUACUGACGCUGAGGCGCGAAAGCGUGGGGAGCAAACAGGAUUAGAAACCCUAGUAGUCC